GAUGAACGCUGGCGGCGUGCUUAACACAUGCAAGUCGAACGGGAAACCUUUUAUUGAAGCUUCGGCAGAUUUAGCUGGUUUCUAGUGGCGGACGGGUGAGUAACGCGUGGGUAACCUGCCUUAUACAGGGGGAUAACAACCAGAAAUGGUUGCUAAUACCGCAUAAGCGCACAGGACCGCAUGGUCCGGUGUGAAAAACUCCGGUGGUAUAAGAUGGACCCGCGUUGGAUUAGCUAGUUGGCAGGGUAACGGCCUACCAAGGCGACGAUCCAUAGCCGGCCUGCGAGGGUGAACGGCCACAUUGGGACUGAGACACGGCCCAGACUCCUACGGGAGGCAGCAGUGGGGAAUAUUGCACAAUGGGGGAAAACCUGAUGCAGCGACGCCGCGUGAAGGAAGAAGUAUCUAGGUAUGUAAACUUCUAUCAGCAGGGAAGAUAGUGACGGUACCUGACUAAGAAGCCCCGGCUAACUACGUG
RNAcentral lists this ribosomal RNA (478 nucleotides) under uncultured bacterium. RNAcentral's name for it is "partial 16S ribosomal RNA". It matches the Rfam family "Bacterial small subunit ribosomal RNA", at positions 28 to 507 of the family's 1533-position model. The record is from RNAcentral.